RNAcentral lists this ribosomal RNA (1477 nucleotides) under uncultured Bordetella sp. RNAcentral describes it as "partial 16S-23S ribosomal RNA intergenic spacer". It matches the Rfam family "Bacterial small subunit ribosomal RNA". The record is from RNAcentral. Lineage: Bacteria; Pseudomonadati; Pseudomonadota; Betaproteobacteria; Burkholderiales; Alcaligenaceae.
GGUUCGAUCCUGGCUCAGAUUGAACGCUGGCGGGAUGCUUUACAUGCAAGUCGAACGGCAGCCUGGACUUCGGUCUGGUGGCGAGUGGCAGACGGGUGAUAAUGUAUCGGAACGUGUCUAGUAGCGGGGGAUAACUACGCGAAAGCGUAGCUAAUACCACAUACGCCCUUCGGGGGAAAGCGGGGACCUUCCGGGCCUCGCAUAUUAGAAGCGGCCGAUAUCGGAUUAGCUAGUUGGUGGGAAUUAACGGCUCACCAAGGCGACGAUCCGUAGCUGGUUUGAGAGGACGACCAGCCACACUGGGACUGGACACGGCGGAGCUACGGGAGGCAGCAGUGGGGAAUUUUGGACAAUGGGGGAGACCCUGAUCAGCCAUCCGCGUGUGCGAUGAAAUUGUUCGGGUUGUAAAGCACUUUUGGCAGGGAAAGAAACGGCACGGGAUAAUACCCCGUGCAACUGACGGUACCUGCAGAAUAAGCACCGGCUAACUACGUGCCAGCAGCCGCGGUAAUACGUAGGUGCAGCGUUAAUCGGAAUUACUGGGCGUAAAGCGUGCGCAGGCGGUUCGGAAGAAGAUGUGAAAUCACAGAGGCUUAACUUUGGAACUGCAUUUUUAACUACCGAGCUAGAGAGUGUGUCAGAGGGAGGUGGAAUUCCGCGUGUAGCAGUGAAAUGCGUAGAUAUGCGGAGGAACACCGAUGGCGAAGGCAGCCUCUGGGAUAACACUGACGCUCAUGCACGAAAAGCGUGGGGAGCAAGCAAGUUAGAUACCCUGGUAGUCCACGCCCUAAACGAUGUCAACUAGCUGUUGGGGCCUUCGGGCCUUGGUAGCGCAGCUAACGCGUGAAGUUAAGCCGCCUGGGGGUACGGUCGCAAGAUUAAAACUCAAAGGAAUUGACGGGGACCCGCACAAGCGGUGGAUGAUGUGGAUUAAUUCGAUGCAACGCGAAAAACCUUACCUACCCUUGACAUGUCUGGAAUCCCGAAGAGAUUUGGGAGUCUCGCAAGAGAACGGAACACAGGUGCUGCAUGGCUGUCGUCGAAAGUUCGUGUCGUGAGAUGUUGGGUUAAGUCCGCAACGAGCGCAACCCUUUGUCAUUAGUUGCUACGAAAGGGCACUCUAAUGAGACUGCCGGUGACAAACCGGAGGAAGGUGGGGAUGACGUCAAGUCCUCAUGGCCCUUAUGGUGGGGCUUCACACGUCAUACAAUGGUCGGGACAGAGGGUCGCCAACCCGCGAGGGGAGCCAAUCCCAGAAACCCGAUCGUAGUCCGGAUCGCAGUCUGCAACUCGACUGCGUGAAGUCGGAAUCGUAAGUAAUCGCGGAUCAGCAUGUCGCGGUGAAUACGUUCCCGGGUCUUGUACACACCGCCCGUCACACCAUGGGAGUGGGUUUUACCAGAAGUAGUUAGCCUAACCGUAAGGAGGGCGAUUACCACGGUAGGAUUCAUGACUGGGGUGAAGUCGUAACAGGUAA